AACGAACGCUGGCGGCAUGCCUAACACAUGCAAGUCGAACGAGACCUUCGGGUCUAGUGGCGCACGGGUGCGUAACGCGUGGGAACCUGCCCUUAGGUUCGGAAUAACUCCCCGAAAGGGGUGCUAAUACCGGCUAAUGUCUUCGGACCAAAGAUUUAUCGCCUUUGGAUGGGCCCGCGUUGGAUUAGCUAGUUGGUAGGGUAAAAGCCUACCAAGGCGACGAUCCAUAGCUGGUCUGAGAGCAUGAUCAGCCACACUGGGACUGAGACACGGCCCAGACUGCUACGGGAGGCAGCAGUGGGGAAUAGUGGACAAGGGGCGAAAGCCUGAUCCAGCAAUGCCGCGUGAGUGAGGAAGGCCUUAGGGUUGUAAAGCUCUUUUACCCGGGAUGAUAAUGACAGUACCGGGAGAAUAAGCUCCGGCUAACUCCGUG
Molecule: ribosomal RNA, 433 nt
Filed under: uncultured bacterium
Lineage: Bacteria
Description: partial 16S ribosomal RNA
Rfam family: Bacterial small subunit ribosomal RNA
Source: RNAcentral